CAAAAGAUAAGCUAAAUUUAAGCUAAUGGGUUCAUACCUCAUUUAUGGAUAAUAUUCCUCUUUUUA
Molecule: transfer RNA, 66 nt
Filed under: Tettigades major
Lineage: Eukaryota; Metazoa; Arthropoda; Insecta; Hemiptera; Cicadidae
Description: tRNA-Met
Source: RNAcentral